AACGAACGCUGGCGGCAUGCCUAACACAUGCAAGUCGAACGAGACCUUCGGGUCUAGUGGCGCACGGGUGCGUAACGCGUGGGAACCUGCCCUUAGGUUCGGAAUAACUCCCCGAAAGGGGUGCUAAUACCGGAUAAUGUCUUCGGACCAAAGAUUUUUCGCCUUUGGAUGGGCCCGCGUUGGAUUAGCUAGUUGGUAGGGUAAAAGCCUACCAAGGCGACGAUCCAUAGCUGGUCUGAGAGGAUGAUCAGCAACACUGGGACUGAGACACGGCCCAGACUCCUACGCGAGGCAGCAGUGGGUAAUAUUGGACCAUGGGCGAAAGCCUGAUCCAGCAAUGCCGGGUGAGUGAUGAAGGCCUUAGGGUUGUAAAGCUCUUUUACCCGGGAUGAUAAUGACAGUACCGGGAGAAUAAGCUCCGGCUAACUCCGUG
This 433-nucleotide ribosomal RNA is filed under the name uncultured bacterium. Its description in RNAcentral is "partial 16S ribosomal RNA". It matches the Rfam family "Bacterial small subunit ribosomal RNA", at positions 29 to 507 of the family's 1533-position model. The record is from RNAcentral.